AAUAUUGCGCAAUGGGGGGAACCCUGACGCAGCAACGCUGCGUGAGCGAUGAAGGCCUACGGGACGUAAAGCUCUGUCGAUAGGGAUGAUAGUGACAGUACCUCUGGAGGAAGCCCCGGCUAACUACGUGCCAGCAGCCGCGGUAAUACGUAGGGGGCAAGCGUUGUCCGGAUUUACUGGGCGUAAAGGGGGCGUAGGCGGUAGAUUAAGUCAGAUGUGAAAGUCCAGGGCUCAACACUGGAAUUGCAUUUGAAACUGUGUAGCUUGAGUGCAGGAGAGGAAAGUGGAAUUCCUAGUGUAGCGGUGAAAUGCGUAGAGAUUAGGAGGAACACCAGUGGCGAAGGCGACUUUCUGGACUGUAGCUGACGCUGAGGUACGAAAGCGUGGGUAGCGAACA
RNAcentral lists this ribosomal RNA (397 nucleotides) under uncultured bacterium. RNAcentral's name for it is "partial 16S ribosomal RNA". It matches the Rfam family "Bacterial small subunit ribosomal RNA", at positions 360 to 774 of the family's 1533-position model. The record is from RNAcentral.